GGAGAGGUGCCAGAGUGGUCGAUUGGGACGGUCUCGAAAACCGUUGUGCCAGUGAUGGUACCGUGGGUUCGAAUCCCACCCUCUCCUCCA
RNAcentral lists this transfer RNA (90 nucleotides) under Alphaproteobacteria bacterium. RNAcentral's name for it is "tRNA-Ser". It matches the Rfam family "tRNA". Rfam says of the family: Transfer RNA (tRNA) molecules are approximately 80 nucleotides in length. Their secondary structure includes four short double-helical elements and three loops (D, anti-codon, and T loops). RNAcentral also lists the same sequence under 1 other name. Lineage: Bacteria; Pseudomonadati; Pseudomonadota; Alphaproteobacteria. The record is from RNAcentral.